This is a long non-coding RNA of Thalassophryne amazonica, 97 nucleotides long. RefSeq lists it as uncharacterized. The transcript is spliced from 3 exons. NCBI's taxonomy places the organism in Eukaryota, Metazoa, Chordata, Actinopteri, Batrachoidiformes, Batrachoididae. The record is from RefSeq and is a predicted model, not a curated record.
GAGCCUAUAGAGACCUCCAAAAUGGUGUUUAAAUAUUUGUUCUGUCACAUAUGAAGAAAGGUAUGAGCAUUCGAAGGUUGGAGUAUCUUGGUAAUUU